UACGUAGGGUGCAAGCGUUGUCCGGAAUCACUGGGCGUAAAGGGCGCGUAGGCGGCUCGGUAAGUCUGUUGUGAAAUCCCCGAGCUCAACUUGGGAAUUGCAAUGGAUACUGGCAGGCUGGAGUAUGGUAGAGGAAGGUGGAAUUCCCGGUGUAGCAGUGAAAUGCGUAGAGAUCGGGAGGAACACCAGUGGCGAAGGCGGCCUGCUGGGCUGUUGCUGACGCUGAGGCGCGACAGCGUGGGGAGCAAACAGG
RNAcentral lists this ribosomal RNA (253 nucleotides) under uncultured bacterium. RNAcentral's name for it is "partial 16S ribosomal RNA". It matches the Rfam family "Bacterial small subunit ribosomal RNA", at positions 524 to 776 of the family's 1533-position model. The record is from RNAcentral.